UACGGAGGGUGCGAGCGUUGUCCGGAAUCACUGGGCGUAAAGGGCGCGUAGGCGGCAUGCCAAGCGUGUGGUGAAAGCCCGGGGCUCAACCCCGGGUCGGCCGUGCGAACUGCUGGGCUGGAGCACUGUAGAGGCAGGUGGAAUUCCGGGUGUAGCGGUGGAAUGCGUAGAGAUCCGGAAGAACACCGGUGGCGAAGGCGGCCUGCUGGGCAGUAGCUGACGCUGAUGCGCGACAGCGUGGGGAGCAAACAGG
This 253-nucleotide ribosomal RNA is filed under the name uncultured bacterium. Its description in RNAcentral is "partial 16S ribosomal RNA". It matches the Rfam family "Bacterial small subunit ribosomal RNA", at positions 524 to 776 of the family's 1533-position model. The record is from RNAcentral.